CCAGCAAUGCCGCGUGAGUGAAGAAGGCCUUCGGGUUGUAAAGCUCUUUCAGUUGAGAAGAAAAAAUUAGUGACUAAUAAUCGCAAUUCAUGAGUAUCAACAGAAGAAGCACCGGCUAACUACGUGCCAGCAGCCGCGGUAAUACGUAGGGUGCAAGCGUUAAUCGGAAUUAUUGGGCGUAAAGGGUGCGCAGGCGGUUUUGUAAGUCAGAUGUGAAAUCCCCGGGCUUAACCUGGGAAUUGCGUUUGAAACUACAAGACUAGAGUGUGGCAGAGGGGGGUGGAAUUCCAUGUGUAGCAGUGAAAUGCGUAGAGAUGUGGAAGAACAUCGAUGGCGAAGGCAGCCCCCUGGGCUAACACUGACGCUCAGGCACGAAAGCGUGGGGAGCAAACAGGAUUAGAUACCCUGGUAGUCCACGCCCUAAACUAUGUCAACUAGUUGUCGGAUCUUAAUAGAUUUGGUAACGUAGCUAACGCGUGAAGUUGACCGCCUGGGGAGUACGGUCG
RNAcentral lists this ribosomal RNA (506 nucleotides) under uncultured bacterium. Its description in RNAcentral is "bacterial SSU rRNA". It matches the Rfam family "Bacterial small subunit ribosomal RNA", at positions 388 to 888 of the family's 1533-position model. The record is from RNAcentral.